Pelobates cultripes (western spadefoot toad) is the source of this 218-nucleotide non-coding RNA. The record is from the annotation of a GenBank genome assembly. Lineage: Eukaryota; Metazoa; Chordata; Amphibia; Anura; Pelobatidae.
AUAACAAUUCACAAGAAUUAUUGACAAACCUGAUUUGUACAAAAGAGUAGGUUAACAACAUAUUGUCUUCCUCCAUUUUUCAAUCUGUUGUUGCAUUUCCUUUAAUAAAGUAUCAUAAUUCGUUUGUAUCAUCUUAUCAAUAUCAAAGGAUAAUUUAAUUCCCAAAUAGUCAAUAUUGUCCCUUUCCCAUACAAAAUAAAAAAAUGCAAAGAUAGACG